GAAAAUAAAGAAAAAAUUCUCUCUUAAUUUCUUCAUUAUGUUUGCACCAAAUCCCUCUUAUCUUACCUCUUUUGUUUUCCCCAAAAGUAUUCGCCUAUUUCACCCAAUUUCUCCAAGCCCUAGUUCCUACCCCUGUUCGAGAAUUUUCGAAUUCAUUAAGGAGAUUUGGAAGAUUUGAUUACAGGAAAAGACAAUUUUCGAAUUCAUUAAUUUCCCCUUCUUCUCCGGG
RNAcentral lists this long non-coding RNA (229 nucleotides) under Erythranthe guttata (spotted monkey flower). Its description in RNAcentral is "long non-coding RNA (EGUT_LNC003636)". The record is from RNAcentral. Lineage: Eukaryota; Viridiplantae; Streptophyta; Magnoliopsida; Lamiales; Phrymaceae.